RNAcentral lists this small RNA (47 nucleotides) under Arabidopsis thaliana (thale cress). RNAcentral describes it as "ATSL275360". The record is from RNAcentral. Lineage: Eukaryota; Viridiplantae; Streptophyta; Magnoliopsida; Brassicales; Brassicaceae.
GUUUUUUGAAGACUUGAUGAACCAUUUGCCAUAGGUCUCAUCCGCUA